UAACACGUAGGGGGCAAGCGUUGUCCGGAUUCAUUGGGCGUAAAGAGCUCGUAGGCGGCUCAGCAAGUCAGGUGUGAAACCUCCGGGCUCAACCCGGAGACGCCACCUGAUACUGCUGUGGCUAGAGUCCAGUAGGGGAGCGUGGAAUUCCCGGUGUAGCGGUGAAAUGCGCAGAUAUCGGGAGGAACACCAGUGGCGAAGGCGGCGCUCUGGGCUGGAACUGACGCUGAGGAGCGAAAGCGUGGGGAGCGAACAGGAUUAGAUACCCUGGUAGUCCACGCCGUAAACGUUGGGCACUAGGUGUGGGGCGGUACCAACCCGUUCCGUGCCGUAGCUAACGCAUUAAGUGCCCCGCCUGGGGAGUACGGCCGCAAGGCUA
RNAcentral lists this ribosomal RNA (379 nucleotides) under uncultured bacterium. RNAcentral's name for it is "bacterial SSU rRNA". It matches the Rfam family "Bacterial small subunit ribosomal RNA", at positions 521 to 896 of the family's 1533-position model. The record is from RNAcentral.